GGUCAAGUUAUUAAGGGUGCAGGGCGGAUGCCUUGGCACUAGGAGCCGAUGAAGGACGUGAUAAGCUGCGAUAAGCUUCGGGGAGUUGCACGUAAACUUUGAUCCGAAGAUUUCCGAAUGAGGAAACUCACUUAGAGUAAUGUCUAAGUAUCAUUAAGUGAAUACAUAGCUUAAUGAGGGGAACUCAGGGAACUGAAACAUCUAAGUACCUGAAGGAAGAGAAAGAAAUUCGAUUCCGUAAGUAGCGGCGAGCGAACGCGGAUUAGCCCAAACCAAUAAAGUUUUCUUUAUUGGGGUUGCGGACAUAUCAUAACGAAGAGGUAUCGUAAUUGAAGAGGUUUGGAAAGACCCACCACAGAAGGUAAUAGUCCUGUAUGUUAAACGAGAAGACUUCAGAUAUGAUCCAGAGUACCACGGGACACGUGAAACCCUGUGGGAAGCAGGAGGGACCACCCUCCAAGGCUAAAUACUACCUAGUGACCGAUAGCGUAUAGUACCGUGAGGGAAAGGUGAAAAGAACCCCGGGAGGGGAGUGAAAUAGAACCUGAAACCCUGCACUUACAAGCUGUGGAAGCACAUUUCUUGUGUGACCGCGUACUUUUUGUAGAACGGGCCAACGAGUUACGUUAAGUAG
RNAcentral lists this ribosomal RNA (634 nucleotides) under Clostridioides difficile. RNAcentral describes it as "partial 23S ribosomal RNA". It matches the Rfam family "Bacterial large subunit ribosomal RNA", at positions 1 to 640 of the family's 2925-position model. The record is from RNAcentral. Lineage: Bacteria; Bacillati; Bacillota; Clostridia; Peptostreptococcales; Peptostreptococcaceae.